Molecule: ribosomal RNA, 380 nt
Filed under: uncultured archaeon
Lineage: Archaea
Description: bacterial SSU rRNA
Rfam family: Archaeal small subunit ribosomal RNA
Source: RNAcentral
AAACUUUGCAAUACACGAAAGUGUGACAGGGCUAUCCCGAGUGCCAUCCGCUGAGGAAGGCUUUUACCCAGUCUAGAACGCUGGGGGAAUAAGGAGAGGGCAAGUCUGGUGUCAGCCGCCGCGGUAAUACCAGCUCUCCGAGUGGUGUGGAUGUUUAUUGGGCCUAAAGCAUCCGUAGCUGGCUAAGUUAGUCCCCUGUUAAAUCCAACGAAUUAAUCGUUGGAUCGCGGGGGAUACUGCUUGGCUAGGGGACGAGAGAGGCAGACGGUAUUUCCGGGGUAGGGGUGAAAUCCUAUAAUCCCGGGAAGACCACCAGUGGCGAAGGCUGUCUGCUAGAACGCGCCCGACGGUGAGGGAUGAAAGCUGGGGGAGCGAACCGG